Molecule: long non-coding RNA, 2282 nt
Organism: Sapajus apella (tufted capuchin)
Lineage: Eukaryota; Metazoa; Chordata; Mammalia; Primates; Cebidae
Exons: 3
Source: RefSeq, a predicted model, not a curated record
CCAUGUUGGCCAGGCUGGUUUGAACUCCCGACCUCAGGUGAUCCGGACGCCUCAGCCUCCCAAAGUGUUGGGAUUACAGGUGUGAGCCACCUCACCCAGCCCAAGCACUGUUUUUGAGAUAAGCAAUAUUAAAAACACUUUCAGCUUCACCAGAUGCUGACUAACUGACCUCCAGCCAGUGUUCCACCAGCCAUAACUACGGCUUUGGUUGGACAAGAGACUGAUUUCAGUAACUUGCCUGAUGACCACCCACCAUGGACUGGUUCUGGCUGGUUUGCAGAGCUCGUGCAUUUGCGUGGAAAGAGCUUUUGCCAUAUAGGGCCUAAUCGUAAUAUAUUUAAAUAUUAAGUCUCCACCCCAAAGCGAGCAUGGGUUGUAUGUUACAUGCAUGUAUGUUCAAUAUGCAUGUGUCAGAACCACCUUCAUGAACAUUCAUAGCUCCUCAUGUAAGCUAUUGAAUGUGUAUGUUUCAUCAGUCCAUGGAGCAUGAAACUUCUACCGUAACCCCUCCUCCUUUGAAGUGCCUGUCUCUGGUCUUGGCUGGAGGCACGAUUCCCAGAGGAACUCUCCCUUUCCGAGGCUGGAGUGCAAUGGUGCGAUCAUAGCUUAUUGCAACCUUGAACUCCUGGACUCAAGUGAUCCUCCCACCUCGGCCUCCUAAGGUGGUGGGAUUACAGGCGUGAGUCACUGUGCCUGGGCUAUAACCAGUGUUAAAUCAUGUUGAGCCUAAAGCUGCCUCCUUACAGUUUUUAAAUUUGGCCUAAAGGUUUCUCUGUGCAUCGUGAACUGUAACCUAAACGGACUUGUAAACCGAAUGUAGCCAGUGCUUGUGCCAAUCACUGAGUUUUGGCUAAUCAAAGGUGGCCAACUGUUCAAACUGUGUUCAGAUAAGGCAAACACCAUCUGGCUGGUUUCUAGAUCUCACUUCUGUUUUCUGUACUUCAUUUUCCUUUUUCUGUCCAUAAUUCUUCCACCACUGCUGCACUGGAGUCUCUGAGCCCACUCUGGCAUGAGAGGCUGCCUGAUUCUUGAAUUGUUAUUUGCUCAGUUAAACUCUGUUAAACUUACCUGGACUAAAGUUUUCCUUUUAUCACUGAGCAUCCUGUAUUUUAUCUGUUAACCCUGGAUUGUUAUUUACAACUUCUUUCUUCCAUACCCAUUCUAUGGUUCUUUUAGGGAUCUUAAUGAAGUGACCCAAACUUCAUUCCUGAAGAGUCUGAGUCCUUGGUAAUUCUGCUUGUAUUGGAUCACUUGAGGCUUUCAUUAACACUAUCACUGAACCCAGCAAUCCUCAGCGACGUCUCAGGGGAUCCCCUGGGUACCACGGACUCACUGUCUCUGUUGUGUGGCAGCAACAGCCUCUCUGUGGACAGUCAGGAUCAGUCUUCCUCUUGGAGCUGUUGGUCCCCAGGCAAAAUGAUGAUGUGGGGGCAGCCUUUACCUCCAGUUCAAAAAAACCAUACAGUGUCCAUUCCUGGUAGCACUCUCCCUUGGACACUGCGGGCUCUAACCCUUAGAAGGAAUGGGAAGGCAAUAUUUUGUCAGAGGCUUUCAGGUAGGAGGAUAAUGGUAGCAGCAGAAGUCCCCAGUGUCACCUAGAGAAACAAUAUGUAAUGAGGAGAAUAGAUAAAAUUAUGCAACAGCAAGCCCUCAGGAUAACAUGGAGACAAGAAUGCUCAAACUUAAAAAGAACAAGAAAAACAAAUAACAUAGAAAUUGCCCAGCUGGGUGUGGUGGCUCAUGUCUGUAAUCCCAGCACUUUGGGAGGCUGAGGUGGACAGAUUCCUUGAGCCCAGAGUUCGAAACUAGCCUGGGCGACAUGGCGAAAACCUGUCUUUACAAGAAAUACAAAAAUUAGCUGGGUGUGGUGGCAUGGUGGUGUUCUAGCUACUUGGGAGUUUGACAUGGAAGGAUCAUUCGAGCCCAGGAGGUAUGGGCUAUAGUGAGCCUUGAUCACACUACUGCCCUUCGGCCUGGGUGUCAGAGACCUUGUCUCAAAAAGAAAGAAAGAGAGAAAGAGAAAGAAAAAGGAAAGGGAAGGAAGGAAGGAAGGAAGGAAAAACAAAUGACAGCUUAGGAUGUCUCCCUUCCACAUGCCCAUUCCAACCUCACAUGCCACAGGCUUUGUGUCGGGACAAGACUAGCUGAGGAAAACUGGGGCAAAGGUGAGGAGGACGUUGUAAUGGGGCUUAAGCUUGAUCUAAGACCUCACCAAAAAGACUAAGUACACUUUGAGCCUGAAAAUGUAAAAACAUGUCUGCAGUAGCAGGAGAUUUAAAAGU